This 305-nucleotide ribosomal RNA is filed under the name uncultured bacterium. RNAcentral describes it as "bacterial SSU rRNA". It matches the Rfam family "Bacterial small subunit ribosomal RNA", at positions 334 to 636 of the family's 1533-position model. The record is from RNAcentral.
GUACCCUACGGGGGGCAGCAGUGAGGAAUAUUGGUCAAUGGUCGGGAGACUGAACCAGCCAAGCCGCGUGAGGGAUGAAGGUACAGAGUAUCGUAAACCUCUUUUGUCAGGGAACAAAGGCGGGGACGUGUCCCCGGAUGAGUGUACCUGAAGAAAAAGCAUCGGCUAACUCCGUGCCAGCAGCCGCGGUAAUACGGAGGAUGCGAGCGUUAUCCGGAUUUAUUGGGUUUAAAGGGAGCGUAGACGGCGAUGCAAGUCUGAAGUGAAAGCCCGGGGCUCAACCCCGGGACUGCUUUGGAAACUGU